GAUGAACGCUGGCUACAGGCUUAACACAUGCAAGUCGAGGGGAAACGACGGGGAAGCUUGCUUCCCCGGGCGUCGACCGGCGCACGGGUGAGUAACGCGUAUCCAACCUGCCUCUGACUGAGGGAUAACCCGUCGAAAGUCGGCCUAAUACCUCAUGGUAUCGUCUGCGGGCAUCCAACGACGAUUAAAGAUUUCAUCGGUCAGGGAUGGGGAUGCGUCUGAUUAGCUUGUUGGCGGGGUAACGGCCCACCAAGGCCACGAUCAGUAGGGGUUCUGAGAGGAAGGUCCCCCACAUUGGAACUGAGACACGGUCCAAACUCCUACGGGAGGCAGCAGUGAGGAAUAUUGGUCAAUGGGCGAGAGCCUGAACCAGCCAAGUAGCGUGCAGGAAGACGGCCCUAUGGGUUGUAAACUGCUUUUAUGCGGGGAUAAAGUGAGGGACGUGUUCCUCAUUGCAGGUACCGCAUGAAUAAGGACCGGCUAAUUCCGUG
Molecule: ribosomal RNA, 491 nt
Filed under: uncultured bacterium
Lineage: Bacteria
Description: partial 16S ribosomal RNA
Rfam family: Bacterial small subunit ribosomal RNA
Source: RNAcentral